AUUCCUUCAAUGCUAACAUUCACUGGACAAGCUAUAGAAAUAUUGUGGGUAAACUUUGUUAGCAGUGAAUAAAGUACUUUCACAAGUAUAAAGCAAGUGUUUGGUAAUUUUCCAAAAGACCUUCUAACCUAUCCUCUCAUUUCUCUACCUUUCCUGCACACCAGAGACCUCCAAUCCUAUCUUCGUUAAAUGAUGCAGCUUCUGGCCAGCCCAGAAAACAGUGCGAGGACUGGAGGGAAGAAACUGACUCAGGUGGAGGACAGGGCAUUAGAAAACGAAGGGCUGGGCUACUUCACUGUAAAAAGGAGCUAUUAGGGAAGGAAGGCCUUUUUUUCCCCUUAAUUCUUUAAGAUGCUUCUCCAGAGCUUAAGGACAACAGGAAACCAGCCUCCAAAAAGGACAGUUGUGAUACUUCACUCCCUCAUGACUCUACCACCUUUUUCUGCCUGACUCACGGGAUUAACUGUCUCAUCCUGUUCUGGGGCUCUUCCAUUUGCAGUCCCCAAAGGCGAUGAAGCUGAGAACUCAGGACCCUUAUCCUUGGUGGUGAAUUAGCCAUGUUGACAUUCAUGGUUCAAAAUGUAUGCACCCCUACCCUGGCAAGACCUGGAGGCUGGAGUCCAACCAAGCCUUGUUGUAAACCAGGAUUGACCGCCUUCAACAUCAUCCCUCUGGGAAGCCAGCUUCUUUAAUGAAGAGACAGCUCUACGCUGGCACAAACUCUUACAAAGAAUAGAGAAAGGGGAGAUUUUUCCAACUCAUUUUGUGAGGCCAGAAUAACUUUGCAAUAUCCUUUUCAGGUUUUUGUAUCAAAAAAGGAAAACCACUGCUCCAUCUCAUUUAUAAACAGUAACACAAAUAUUCUUUUUUUUCUUAAGGUUUUCUUUUUCCUUUUUCUCCCCAAAGCGCCCCAGUACAAAAUUGUGUAAUUUUUUUAGUUGUGGGUCCUUCCAGUUGUAACACAAAUAUUCUAAAUGAAAUAUUAGGAAAUCAAAACCAGCAAUAUAUGUAAAAAAAAAAAAAAAAGGAAAUAUAUUAAGAACCAAACUGAGUGUAUCCUAGGGAUGAGUCAAUGUAACUCCAUGCAUUAAAAGAAUAAAAGAAAAAAAUUUUAUGAUCAUCUCAAAAAAUGUAGAAAAGGCAUUUGAUAAAAGUUCAAUAGUCAUUCAUGCUAAAAACAAUUUUAUCCGCUCAUAAGGAUCUUGCCAUCUGCCUCUGGAUCCAACCUCUAAGUCAAUCUGUCCAACAAGAAUCAAACGAUUUUAAUUUGUGUGUAAAAUAUCAUGGACUAGUAGUCCCACAAUAGUCCCAAUAACAAAAAGGUAACUGUCCUCACGUUUAGAGAGGGAGGAGGUGGAGAGGGGGAAAGGAAGAAAGAGAGAUACUGUGG
Molecule: long non-coding RNA, 1390 nt
Filed under: Equus asinus (donkey)
Lineage: Eukaryota; Metazoa; Chordata; Mammalia; Perissodactyla; Equidae
Description: lncRNA (ENSEASG00005029089.1)
Source: RNAcentral